This 253-nucleotide ribosomal RNA is filed under the name uncultured bacterium. RNAcentral describes it as "partial 16S ribosomal RNA". It matches the Rfam family "Bacterial small subunit ribosomal RNA", at positions 524 to 776 of the family's 1533-position model. The record is from RNAcentral.
UACGGGGGGGGCAAGCGUUGUUCGGAAUUACUGGGCGUAAAGGGCUCGUAGGCGGCCAACUAAGUCAGACGUGAAAUCCCUCGGCUUAACCGGGGAACUGCGUCUGAUACUGGAUGGCUUGAGAUUGGGAGAGGGAUGCGGAAUUCCAGGUGUAGCGGUGAAAUGCGUAGAUAUCAAGAGGAACACCUGAGGUGAAGACGGGUUGCUAGGCUGACACUGACGCUGAGGCGCGAAAGCCAGGGGAGCAAACGGG